This 487-nucleotide ribosomal RNA is filed under the name uncultured bacterium. Its description in RNAcentral is "bacterial SSU rRNA". It matches the Rfam family "Bacterial small subunit ribosomal RNA", at positions 501 to 988 of the family's 1533-position model. The record is from RNAcentral.
CUACGUGCCAGCAGCCGCGGUAAUACGUAGGUCCCGAGCGUUGUCCGGAUUUAUUGGGCGUAAAGCGAGCGCAGGCGGUUAGAUAAGUCUGAAGUUAAAGGCUGUGGCUUAACCAUAGUACGCUUUGGAAACUGUUUAACUUGAGUGCAAGAGGGGAGAGUGGAAUUCCAUGUGUAGCGGUGAAAUGCGUAGAUAUAUGGAGGAACACCGGUGGCGAAAGCGGCUCUCUGGCUUGUAACUGACGCUGAGGCUCGAAAGCGUGGGGAGCAAACAGGAUUAGAUACCCUGGUAGUCCACGCCCUAAACGAUGUAUACUAGUUGUUGCUAAGCUAGUCUUGGCAGUAAUGCACCUAACGGAUUAAGUAUACCGCCUGGGGAGUACGGUCGCAAGAUUAAAACUCAAAGGAAUAGACGGGGACCCGCACAAGCGGUGGAGCAUGUGGUUUAAUUCGAAGAUACGCGAAGAACCUUACCCGGACCUGAUAUC